GGGGUUGUGGCUCAGCAGUAGAGUGCUCACCUUGCACGUGUGAGACCCUGGGUUCAAUCCCCAGCACCACA
Molecule: transfer RNA, 71 nt
Filed under: Marmota monax (woodchuck)
Lineage: Eukaryota; Metazoa; Chordata; Mammalia; Rodentia; Sciuridae
Description: tRNA.Ala
Rfam family: tRNA
About the family: Transfer RNA (tRNA) molecules are approximately 80 nucleotides in length. Their secondary structure includes four short double-helical elements and three loops (D, anti-codon, and T loops). Further hydrogen bonds mediate the characteristic L-shaped molecular structure. tRNAs have two regions of fundamental functional importance: the anti-codon, which is responsible for specific mRNA codon recognition, and the 3' end, to which the tRNAs corresponding amino acid is attached (by aminoacyl-tRNA synthetases). tRNAs cope with the degeneracy of the genetic code in two manners: having more than one tRNA (with a specific anti-codon) for a particular amino acid; and 'wobble' base-pairing, i.e. permitting non-standard base-pairing at the 3rd anti-codon position.
Source: RNAcentral